GCAAGUCGAACGGCAGCAUGAUCUAGCUUGCUAGAUUGAUGGCGAGUGGCGAACGGGUGAGUAAUACAUCGGAACGUGCCCUGUAGUGGGGGAUAACUAGUCGAAAGAUUAGCUAAUACCGCAUACGACCUGAGGGUGAAAGUGGGGGACCGCAAGGCCUCAUGCUAUAGGAGCGGCCGAUGUCUGAUUAGCUAGUUGGUGAGGUAAAGGCUCACCAAGGCGACGAUCAGUAGCUGGUCUGAGAGGACGAUCAGCCACACUGGGACUGAGACACGGCCCAGACUCCUACGGGAAGCAGCAGUGGGGAAUUUUGGACAAUGGGCGAAAGCCUGAUCCAGCAAUGCCGCGUGUGUGAAGAAGGCCUUCGGGUUGUAAAGCACUUUUGUCCGGAAAGAAAUGGCUCUGGUUAAUACCUGGGGUCGAUGACGGUACCGGAAGAAUAAGGACCGGCUAACUACGUGCCAGCAGCCGCGGUAAUACGUAGGGUCCAAGCGUUAAUCGGAAUUACUGGGCGUAAAGCGUGCGCAGGCGGUUGUGCAAGACCGAUGUGAAAUCCCCGAGCUUAACUUGGGAAUUGCAUUGGUGACUGCACGGCUAGAGUGUGUCAGAGGGGGGUAGAAUUCCACGUGUAGCAGUGAAAUGCGUAGAGAUGUGGAGGAAUACCGAUGGCGAAGGCAGCCCCCUGGGAUAACACUGACGCUCAUGCACGAAAGCGUGGGGAGCAAACAGGAUUAGAUACCCUGGUAGUCCACGCCCUAAACGAUGUCAACUAGUUGUUGGGGAUUCAUUUCCUUAGUAACGUAGCUAACGCGUGAAGUUGACCGCCUGGGGAGUACGGUCGCAAGAUUAAAACUCAAAGGAAUUGACGGGGACCCGCACAAGCGGUGGAUGAUGU
RNAcentral lists this ribosomal RNA (895 nucleotides) under uncultured beta proteobacterium. RNAcentral's name for it is "bacterial SSU rRNA". It matches the Rfam family "Bacterial small subunit ribosomal RNA", at positions 57 to 942 of the family's 1533-position model. Lineage: Bacteria; Pseudomonadati; Pseudomonadota; Betaproteobacteria. The record is from RNAcentral.